Molecule: ribosomal RNA, 475 nt
Filed under: uncultured bacterium
Lineage: Bacteria
Description: bacterial SSU rRNA
Rfam family: Bacterial small subunit ribosomal RNA
Source: RNAcentral
UAGAGUUUGAUCCUGGCUCAGGACGAACGCUGGCGGUGUGCUUCACACAUGCAAGUCGAACGAGGUAGCAAUACCUAGUGGCGGACGGGUGAGUAACGCGUGGGAAUCUGCCUUUAGAUGGGGGAUAACGAGCCGAAAGGUUCGCUAAUACCGCAUAUGCCGUAAGGUGAAAGGAGUAAUCCGUCUAGAGAUGAGCCCGCGUCCGAUUAGCUAGUUGGUAGGGUAAAGGCCUACCAAGGCGACGAUCGGUAGCUGGUCUGAGAGGAUGAUCAGCCACAAUGGGACUGAGACACGGCCCAUACUCCUACGGGAGGCAGCAGUGGGGAAUUUUACGCAAUGGGGGAAACCCUGACGUAGCGACACCGCGUGAGCGAAGAAGCCCCUUGGGGUGUAAAGCUCUGUCGGCUGGAACGAAAAAAAUGACGGUACCAGCAAAGGAAGCAUCGGCUAACUACGUGCCAGCAGCCCCGGUCAA